Molecule: ribosomal RNA, 470 nt
Filed under: uncultured Scutellospora
Lineage: Eukaryota; Fungi; Glomeromycota; Glomeromycetes; Diversisporales; Gigasporaceae
Description: SSU rRNA
Rfam family: Eukaryotic small subunit ribosomal RNA
Source: RNAcentral
AGCAGCCGCGGUAAUUCCAGCUCCAAUAGCGUAUAUUAAAGUUGUUGCAGUUAAAAAGCUCGUAGUUGAAUUUCGGGGUUCUACCGUUGGUCGGGCUUUGUCUGUACUGGCGUGUAGAAUUUCUACCUUCUGGGAACCAUCAUGUUAUUAAUUUAGCGUGGUGGGAAACCAGGACCUUUACUUUGAAAAAAUUAGAGUGUUCAAAGCAGGCUUAUGUCUGAAUACAUUAGCAUGGAAUAAUAGAAUAGGACGGUGGUCCUGUUUUGUUGGUUUCUGAAUCACCGUAAUGAUAAAUAGGGAUAGUUGGGGGCAUUAGUAUUCAAUUGUCAGAGGUGAAAUUCUUGGAUUUAUUGAAGACUAACUUCUGCGAAAGCAUUUGCCAAGGAUGUUUUCAUUAAUCAAGAACGAAAGUUAGGGGAUCGAAGACGAUCAGAUACCGUCGUAGUCUUAACCAUAAACUAUGCCGACUA